GACGAACGCUGGCGGCGUGCUUAACACAUGCAAGUCGAACGGAAAGGCCCUGCUUUUGUGGGGUGCUCGAGUGGCGAACGGGUGAGUAACACGUGAGUAACCUGCCCUUGACUUGGGGAUAACUUCAGGAAACUGGGGCUAAUACCGGAUAGGAGCUCCUGCUGCAUGGUGGGGGUUGGAAAGUUUCGGCGGUUGGGGAUGGACUCGCGGCUUAUCAGCUUGUUGGUGGGGUAGUGGCUUACCAAGGCUUUGACGGGUAGCCGGCCUGAGAGGGUGACCGGCCACAUUGGGACUGAGAUACGGCGCAGACUCCUACGGGAGGCAGCAGUGGGGAAUAUUGCACAAUGGGCGGAAGCCUGAUGCAGCAACGCCGCGUGCGGGAUGACGGCCUUCGGGUUGUAAACCGCUUUCGCCUGUGACGAAGCGUGAGUGACGGUAAUGGGUAAAGAAGCACCGGCUAACUACGUG
This 468-nucleotide ribosomal RNA is filed under the name uncultured bacterium. RNAcentral describes it as "partial 16S ribosomal RNA". It matches the Rfam family "Bacterial small subunit ribosomal RNA", at positions 28 to 507 of the family's 1533-position model. The record is from RNAcentral.